Hylaeus anthracinus is the source of this 1727-nucleotide RNA transcript. It is a transcript of the gene named RNA-binding protein 1, with no coding region annotated. The transcript has 8 exons. The record is from RefSeq and is a predicted model, not a curated record. NCBI's taxonomy places the organism in Eukaryota, Metazoa, Arthropoda, Insecta, Hymenoptera, Colletidae.
CAUGUACACCAAUGCCAUCUUAGAAAGGAGGACACGGAAGAAGAUCAACGCUACACACGCCACCAUUUUGUGAGCAUUUCUACUUGCGCGGUUCGAAGGAACGGUUGUGUGUGUUGCAAAGUUGUGAAGUUCUUUUAACCAAUUUACUCCUUCAAAACACAAAAUGUCACGUUAUCGUGAAUGGGAUCUUUCGUGCAAAGUUUAUGUUGGAAAUUUGGGCAGCAGUGCAAGCAAACAUGAAAUUGAAAGCGCAUUCAGUAAAUAUGGUCCACUAAGAAAUGUAUGGGUUGCCAGAAAUCCACCUGGAUUUGCUUUUGUAGAAUUUGAAGAUCCAAGAGAUGCUGAAGAUGCAGUUAGGGGACUAGAUGGAACACGCUGUUGUGGAACCAGAGUAAGGGUAGAGAUGUCCUCCGGCAGAAGUCGACGUGGUGGUGGUGGACGUAGACCCGGUCCAAGAUACUCCAGGUCCAGAUCUCGCAGUCCCCGAAGGAAAUCGCUGGGUCGUUACCCCAGGUCCUGGUCAAGAAGUCCGCGGAGAUCACCGAUAAGUCGAUUAUCCAGAUUCUACCAGCGUCAGCUCCUAGCUCUGCUCGUCUCCCCGCCACUACUACUACUGCUACUACUACUACUACUACAGCCACCGUGAAAAAAAGUCUAGCAAUCAAAACUGAACAAAAAAAAGCCUGCCUGCCCACUAACUUCCCAACCAGUCACCAUCAGUCACCACCAGUCACCGGUCACGGUCCCGUAGCCCUCGCAGGAGAUCACUGACCCGUAGCCGCAGCCGAGACCGUCGUUCUCGUUCGGAUUCCCGUGACAGACGUUAGGUGCUAAAAGUGUCGAGAGAACGGACCGACUAAAUGUGCCGGAUGGAAGACAAACGAAAACCGAUUUUAUAUGUACAUAAAGAAACAAUAAUAAUCGUUACCACGCGUACAUACUCGGAUCAAGCAAUGAUGAUAAUAAAGAGUAAAAGACAUUUCAUAAGAUACGAAACAAACAUUCAUACUUGUUGGAAGAAAUAUAGUGGGGAUGUAAAAAAAAAAGAGUAGGAGCGGGGAUGAAAACACAGUAUCAUACUUGAAUGUUGAGAGUGAAAAUCCCAAGGACGAACUGUGUACACUUUUUCGGCACUGUAGCACAUCAAGGGCUUGGGUAAUUAAAAACACUCAGUGGUUUGUACUCUUAUACGAGUAUGUCGCUUUCCAUUCCGCAAUAGUGCUUCGAGUAUCUCACUAUAUUCUUUUCACUAAGUACACAUACACGUUUAGGAUUUAAGCUGUUAAUUUUGUAUACGCAUGGAAGUCAGCUACGUGCGUAAUACUCUUUACACUGGUUCACACAGUACAUACACAUGCGUGUGCGCUCAUACACACAUCUUGCUCACGCAUACAUUACAUACACACACUUACACACUAUACAAAAGUUAAAAGGACACGAUUUUUUUUAUGACGCGAGCUAUCAAGUGCGUUGGAUCUCCUACAAAAUGUGCUUACUGCUUUAAAGUGUACGAGUGCGAUAAAAGAUUCGAUUUACAAUUAAGAAUAAUUAACGAUUAUCAGCAUAACCGUGAGUGGUAACCGACGGGAAUAAUCGAUACAGACUUCGGGUCAGAGACGUUUCACCGUGAAGAAGGUAACGGAAAAAGGAGAAAUGACCGUUUUAUGUUGUAUUAAUUAUUUUGUACUCUUACGAAUCUAAGAUUAAAAAUAAAAAAGUGUAUCGUA